GCUGCAUUUCCUGUGCCGCAGAGCGGGGCGGCUGUGAGCUGAGCUGCACGGUGACGGCCCGGCUUCCUGCCGCCCUGGCUGCGAGCUGGAAACCUCAACCGCGGC
Gallus gallus (chicken) is the source of this 105-nucleotide microRNA precursor. The record is from Ensembl. Lineage: Eukaryota; Metazoa; Chordata; Aves; Galliformes; Phasianidae.